Molecule: ribosomal RNA, 486 nt
Filed under: uncultured bacterium
Lineage: Bacteria
Description: partial 16S ribosomal RNA
Rfam family: Bacterial small subunit ribosomal RNA
Source: RNAcentral
AUUGAACGCUGGCGGCAUGCCUUACACAUGCAAGUCGAACGGCAGCACGGGUGCUUGCACCUGGUGGCGAGUGGCGAACGGGUGAGUAAUACAUCGGAACAUGUCCUGUAGUGGGGGAUAGCCCGGCGAAAGCCGGAUUAAUACCGCAUACGAUCUACGGAUGAAAGCGGGGGACCUUCGGGCCUCGCGCUAUAGGGUUGGCCGAUGGCUGAUUAGCUAGUUGGUGGGGUAAAGGCCUACCAAGGCGACGAUCAGUAGCUGGUCUGAGAGGACGACCAGCCACACUGGGACUGAGACACGGCCCAGACUCCUACGGGAGGCAGCAGUGGGGAAUUUUGGACAAUGGGCGAAAGCCUGAUCCAGCAAUGCCGCGCGUGUGAAGAAGGCCUUCGGGUUGUAAAGCACUUUUGUCCGGAAAGAAAUCCUUGGCUCUAAUACAGUCGGGGGAUGACGGUACCGGAAGAAUAAGCACCGGCUAACUACGUG